CGGGGGCUGUCGGUAUUAUUGGGCGUAAAGCGAGCGCAGGCGGUAGAUAAGUCUGAAGUUAAAGGCUGUGGCUUAACCAUAGUACGCUUUGGAAACUGUUUAACUUGAGUGCAAGAGGGGAGAGUGGAAUUCCAUGUGUAGCGGUGAAAUGCGUAGAUAUAUGGAGGAACACCGGUGGCGAAAGCGGCUCUCUGGCUUGUAACUGACGCUGAGGCUCGAAAGCGUGGGGGAGCAAACAGGAUUAGAUACCCUGGUAGUCCACGCCGUAAACGAUGAGUGCUAGGUGUUAGACCCUUUCCGGGGUUUAGUGCCGCAGCUAACGCAUUAAGCACUCCGCCUGGGGAGUACGACCGCAGGGUGGAAACUCAAAGGAAUUGACGGGGGGCCCGCACACGCGGGGGAAGCAUGUGGUUUAAAUUCGGAGGCACCGCGAAGACACCUUUACCAGGUCUUGACAUCCCUCUUAACCGCCCCUAGAAAAUAGAAGUUUCCCUUCCGGAACAGAAGUUGACAGGGGGGUGGCAUGGUUUGUCGGCCGGCCUCGGGCGGGGGGAAUGUUGGGUUUAAGUCCCGGCAACGGGCCGCAACCCCCUAUUGGUUAGUUUGCCAUCAUUUCAGUUGGGCCCCUCUAGCGAGACUGCCGGGUUAAUAAACCGGAGGAAGGUUGGGGAUGACGGCAAAUCCUCCAUGCCCCCUUAUGGACCGGGCCAACACACGUGCUACAAUGAAUUGUACAACGAGGCGGCAAGGCGGUGACGGCAAGCAAAUCUCCUUAAAGCAGUCUAGUUCGGAUUGUAGGCUGCCACCUCGCCUACGUGAGGCCGGAUACACAUAGUAAUCCGGAUCAGCACGCGCGUGAUCGUCUCCUCGCGCUAUUAUAUA
Molecule: ribosomal RNA, 882 nt
Filed under: Streptococcus sp.
Lineage: Bacteria; Bacillati; Bacillota; Bacilli; Lactobacillales; Streptococcaceae
Description: bacterial SSU rRNA
Rfam family: Bacterial small subunit ribosomal RNA
Source: RNAcentral